This is a transfer RNA of Trichoderma harzianum, 100 nucleotides long. It matches the Rfam family "tRNA". Rfam says of the family: Transfer RNA (tRNA) molecules are approximately 80 nucleotides in length. Their secondary structure includes four short double-helical elements and three loops (D, anti-codon, and T loops). The record is from Rfam. NCBI's taxonomy places the organism in Eukaryota, Fungi, Ascomycota, Sordariomycetes, Hypocreales, Hypocreaceae.
GCUUCCGUAGCUCAGUUGGUUAGAGCUUCGUACUAAUACUUCAGCUUUCAGCCCAGUCUUGGUAAUGCGAAGGUCGCAGGUUCAAGCCCUGCCGGGAGCA